CGGUCGGCGGCGUUCGCGGCUUCCUCACGGCCGCGUCCCUCCCUCCCCUUCCACCCUAGGCUCCGCCUCUUCGCCUCCUCCAGCAGCUGAUCCCCAGCUGCGGUCGCGCUUCCGCGGUGCGGGGCCCUUCCGCCGGCCGCCGGGCCGGAGAACGCGGGCGCCAGCUGCCCCUCCCCCGCGGACGGCGGCCGGGUGACGGCGGGCGGUGGCUUGCAGCGGCUGCUGCCCGCGCCGAAACGCGGUUGGUGCUGGACGGCGGCCCCGGCGCGCCGCACUCUGUGAAGUUGGACGCGCGUAACAAUCAGAGCGGCAGCCGGGCUGCGGGCUCCCCCUCCUCUCUUAGAGGGGCCGUGGCUCGCCCUGCGCCGCUGGCUGCCUCCUGGGGCGCUCAGUCCCUGUCCUAAUGAGGGAACACGGGAUUGGACUGGACGUCCGGAAGCAGAUGUAUUUGCAAGUCACAAGAAACAUUAUACGAACAUAGCUGUGUCUUAUUUCACUGGUAGUGGUGAGGCAAAGGUCUGGAGCGUGGAGCUCUGAGGAUGCACAGCUGUUAGCCAGUAUCACAAUACAGGCCAGAAGUAGCUGCCUUCCAGUAGUGCCCGGAGUCCCCAAAUUGAUCUCAGUGAAGAAACUGGGAAUUACAUUCUCAGGACCACAGAUGGCACAAGAGUGGUUGAAUACAACCAUUGAUGGAAAACGGAUUAAAGAAAUUCUGAAGAUGAAGAUGGGAUGAACAUGGGAAAGGUUCACCUAGCAAGCAAAAUUAUGUCUUUUUGCAAAUAGUUCAUUUGAAAGUCCAUAUUGUAACAUUCUGAACUUACUUGAAAAUCACCAAAUCCAAAAAUGAGAGCUCUAAUGGAAUAUGCUCCUUUAAAUAGGAAAAUAUGUAAUACUUUAUUUUUAGAAGUUUCCUUGGCCAGGCAGUGGUAAUGCUUGCCUUUAAUCCCAGCACUCAGGAGGCAGAGGCAGGUGAAUCUCUAUGAGUUCAAGGUCAGUCUGGUCUACAGAGCAAGUUCCAGGAAAGCCAAGGCUACACAGAAAAACCCUGUCUAGAAAAACAAAAACAAAAGUUUUAUCCUAUGAACACAAUAGUGCAGAGAUGUAAUCCAAGUACUUGGGAAGUGGAGGUAGGAGAAUCAGGAGUUCAGUGUCAACCUGGGCUACAAGAGACCCUGUCCUCAAAACAACAAUCAUAAAGUUUUAUCCAUUCAUUGCAAGGAUAUUUCUCAUCUCAGUUCCUCUGCUUGACAUACUCAACUUAAAAAUGGACUUCUGCCUUUAAAUUAAUAGGCCAUCUUUCCUUUCUGCCUUAUUUGCUUAGGGUAGAGGAGAGAGGACUAGUAAUGAUGUGUCUGGAAUGGCUUUUACUCUGUCAAUAUGUAAGGCACACCUUUUUCUCCCCCCUCUUAAUCACACACUCUAAUCCACUACUUUAAACAUGACUCUUUCCCCCCCAAUCCCUGAAAAAACCUCAGCCUAAAAAUAGUUCAGGAUCUGGUCACAAGCUAGCCCAAUUCUAGGGGCUUUGUUGGAAAGUUCCCUAAAAGUUCAGUGACCAACUAGAGCAAAGACAUAGUACCACCUAGUCUCUAUAGCCUACUGGUAUUCUGGACAGAGUUAUUAUCUUUUUUUCAAAUCUAGGGACUGAAUCUAGGGCUUUGUGCAUGCUAGGCAAGUGCUCUACCACAGACCUGUACCCUCAGCUUCUCUGGGUUAUUCCCAUUUCUGUAAAUAGGGUUGCCAGAGAAAAUAAAAGGCAUUCAUUCAGUUCAGUAUGAAUUUCA
Long non-coding RNA from Mesocricetus auratus (golden hamster), 1784 nucleotides. RefSeq lists it as uncharacterized. NCBI's taxonomy places the organism in Eukaryota, Metazoa, Chordata, Mammalia, Rodentia, Cricetidae. The transcript has 3 exons. The record is from RefSeq and is a predicted model, not a curated record.